AGCGCCGGCACGGGCAACGGAAUCCCAAAAGCAGCUGUCCCCGCAGCGCCCAGCUGCCCUGGGAUUUCGUUACCCGCGCCUCCGCCU
Molecule: non-coding RNA, 87 nt
Organism: Gallus gallus (chicken)
Lineage: Eukaryota; Metazoa; Chordata; Aves; Galliformes; Phasianidae
Source: Rfam